GCUAAAAUCCGUCUUGUCGCUCCAAUUGUAUUGGGGAGGAAAGUCCGGGCAUCGCAGAGCACCAUACCUUUUGAAAGGAAGGGCGGUUGUAAAACCGACAGCUAGUGUUACAGAAAAUAACCGCCUGAAUAAGUUUAACUUUUGAGGGUAAGGGUGAAAAGGUGAGGUAAGAGCUCACCAGUGUAAGAAGUAAUUUUUGCAGCUGAAUAAACCUUAUGGGAUGAAAGCUUAAAUAGGCUGGAGUGUUUUUAAAACGAAGAGUUGCUCGCUCAAUUCCAGUGGGUAAAGCGUUUAGAUAAAUGACAAGGCUCGACAGAACCUGGCUUAUAGGAUGUUAGCGUUU
This 343-nucleotide RNase P RNA is filed under the name Flavobacteriales bacterium. RNAcentral describes it as "RNase P RNA component class A". It matches the Rfam family "Bacterial RNase P class A". From Rfam's summary of the family: Ribonuclease P (RNase P) is a ubiquitous endoribonuclease, found in archaea, bacteria and eukarya as well as chloroplasts and mitochondria. Its best characterised activity is the generation of mature 5'-ends of tRNAs by cleaving the 5'-leader elements of precursor-tRNAs. Lineage: Bacteria; Pseudomonadati; Bacteroidota; Flavobacteriia; Flavobacteriales. The record is from RNAcentral.